Molecule: small nuclear RNA, 22 nt
Filed under: Arabidopsis thaliana (thale cress)
Lineage: Eukaryota; Viridiplantae; Streptophyta; Magnoliopsida; Brassicales; Brassicaceae
Description: snRNA_15354
Source: RNAcentral
CGGUGCCCAACUGCGCGCUAAC